RNAcentral lists this long non-coding RNA (286 nucleotides) under Gallus gallus (chicken). Lineage: Eukaryota; Metazoa; Chordata; Aves; Galliformes; Phasianidae. The record is from RNAcentral.
CGCAGCAGAGAGGUACUGGCACAUGCCUGCCUGCAUCCUGUGCCCGGGGUAGGACGGGGACGGCGCCGAGGACUGGGGGGCGCCGGGGGGGUACUGCGUGCCGGGGUACUGCCCGCCCUGCAGGUACUGCUGCGCCGGGUACCCCUCGCCGGCGUACGCCCGCUUGACGCCCUGCCGCGGCAGCUGCUGCCCGGGGGGGGCCCGGGGUAGGCGUGCUGGGGCAGCCGCUGCGUGCCGUACAGCGUGCCCACCCCGGGCGCCCGCGCGGGCCCCACGCCCAGCGGCG